GGGAACAUGUGAGAAGCAUGAAAUGGGAGAUGUCUUGUCAUCUCAAUCUCUCAUGUCUUUCCAUGUCUCAAUGUUUUCUCUGCCAUUCAAAUUCUUGGUCUUGUUCAAUGGAUUCGGCUGUAAGGUUAACAGAGCCCAUGUUCAUGAUUGAGAGAGAAAAACUGUUAUCUAUAUUCAUAUUACUUACAAAAUUUGGUACUUUUUCCGUGGAAUUUACUCUUAUUCUUCACAUCCAGAUGAUGGAUCCGAAAGAAUGGCAGGAAAAGGAAACAAGAACACGCUAUUCACCUCACUGCAUUUCUCAAAGAGCACUUGUGUUCUUUUCGUGUCAAUUGCAGUUUCAGUCGCUUGUCUCUCUCUCAUCUAUUCCCCAUUUUAUCUGUUUCCAUUCAUAAUUAUCGCAAUCUCGCUUGUCUCGGCCCUCCUCCACAUUGCCUUGUCCAACAAGAAACCCAGCUUUCAUCUUCAUGCAGAGGAACUUGCUCAUCAAGGAACCCACACAAACUCCGAAGCCAAAGAAGAAGAAGAGGAGGAGGAGGAGGGGGAGGAGGAAGGAUUGAUAGAGAUUGCUCUUGUAGGAGAGGCAAAAGAAGAAAAGAUGAACAUGGUGGAGAGAUUUCUGAUGAUGCAUGAAGAAGACGAGGAGGAGAUGAUGUUGAUGAUGGAGAUGUGGAGUCAAGUUGAAGAAGACAACUUCAUUGAGAUUGACAUUUCCAUGGGAUCUAUUGUAUCUUCCAAAGCUUAAGUAUUGUUUCAAGUACUUUUUCUCUGCUAAUUACAUCAGUAGAUUACUGUAAGAUUUCAGACAUCCUCAGUUUAUGUUUUUUUUAAACA
Molecule: long non-coding RNA, 834 nt
Organism: Tarenaya hassleriana
Lineage: Eukaryota; Viridiplantae; Streptophyta; Magnoliopsida; Brassicales; Cleomaceae
Exons: 2
Source: RefSeq, a predicted model, not a curated record